RNAcentral lists this ribosomal RNA (466 nucleotides) under uncultured bacterium. RNAcentral describes it as "bacterial SSU rRNA". It matches the Rfam family "Bacterial small subunit ribosomal RNA", at positions 338 to 795 of the family's 1533-position model. The record is from RNAcentral.
CCUANGGGGGGCAGCAGUGGGGAAUUUUGCGCAAUGGGCGAAAGCCUGACGCAGCAACGCCGCGUGAGUGAUGAAGGCUUUCGGGUCGUAAAGCUCUGUCGAUGGGAAAGAAGUGUAUUGUGGCUAAUAUCCACGAUACUUGACGGUACCCAUAAAGGAAGCACCGGCUAACUCCGUGCCAGCAGCCGCGGUAAUACGGGGGGUGCAAGCGUUGUUCGGAAUUAUUGGGCGUAAAGAGCGUGUAGGCGGUUUGUUAAGUCUGUUGUGAAAGCCCUGGGCUCAACCCAGGAAGUGCACUGGAUACUGGCAGACUUGAAUACGGGAGAGGGCAGUGGAAUUCCUAGUGUAGGAGUGAAAUCCGUAGAUAUUAGGAGGAACACCGGUGGCGAAGGCGGCUACCUGGACCGAUAUUGACGCUGAGACGCGAAAGCGUGGGUAGCAAACAGGAUUAGAUACCCGGNUANUC